UCAUCUGCAACACCAUGUUUACUGGCCUGGCAACAUGUCAUAUUGUGUCAAGUCCUUAGUCCUAAGAAGACUCGCUGAACAGAAAGUGAACAUUGGCUCUGAGUAAGACCUGUAGGAUUGUGGCAUUGAGGGCAUUGACUAAGAAACAGCAUUUUCUCCAGAGAUGAUGCCAUUAUUCGACUGGGGGAUGACAGCAUUCACCAGCUCCAUCAUCUUAUCCACUGGGACCAGGAUCUCAUAAAGUGCUCUCAACAUAGACAUCUCAUAUAACGGGUAAUAACUCCAGCCAGUUAAUACAGAGGAAUUAUCAGGCAGAGAAGCAAUGAACCUGGCAAAAAAGAAAGAAUAAAAUCACAUGGCCUGUACUAUAUUAUCAGCAUGGCGUGAACACGGAGCAUUGAGGUAGGUGGAGAGAAGCACAGUAGGAAAUAGAGAUGGGCAAUGAACGUGUAAGAUCACCACGACGGUUUUUGUGAGAUAAGAAGACGAGGGCUGAGACAUUCUGUAGAUGAGGCGAAAAAAGAGGUUUGCUUGUCAUGUGUAAGAGCGGCAAUAAGGGAAGGAUCAUAUAGGUGCAUUCACUAAAGACUCAUAAUCUGCCUAAUCCAUAAGAAAGGUUCCUUGAGCUUUCAUUACACUAUUGUGUAAUGCCAUUCUUGAAACAAU
Long non-coding RNA from Corythoichthys intestinalis (scribbled pipefish), 666 nucleotides. RefSeq lists it as uncharacterized. The transcript has 3 exons. The record is from RefSeq and is a predicted model, not a curated record. NCBI's taxonomy places the organism in Eukaryota, Metazoa, Chordata, Actinopteri, Syngnathiformes, Syngnathidae.